GUAGGGAAUAUUGGACAAUGGGCGAAAGCCUGAUCCAGCAAUGCCGCGUGAGUGAUGAAGGCCUUAGGGUUGUAAAGCUCUUUUACCAGGGAUGAUAAUGACAGUACCUGGAGAAUAAGCUCCGGCUAACUCCGUGCCAGCAGCCGCGGUAAUACGGAGGGAGCUAGCGUUGUUCGGAAUUACUGGGCGUAAAGCGCGCGUAGGCGGCGAUUUAAGUCAGAGGUGAAAGCCCGGGGCUCAACCCCGGAAUAGCCUUUGAGACUGGAUUGCUAGAAUCCUGGAGAGGUGAGUGGAAUUCCGAGUGUAGAGGUGAAAUUCGUAGAUAUUCGGAAGAACACCAGUGGCGAAGGCGGCUCACUGGACAGGUAUUGACGCUGAGGUGCGAAAGCGUGGGGAGCAAACAGGAUUAGAAACCCGAGUAGUCC
Molecule: ribosomal RNA, 425 nt
Filed under: uncultured bacterium
Lineage: Bacteria
Description: bacterial SSU rRNA
Rfam family: Bacterial small subunit ribosomal RNA
Source: RNAcentral